Molecule: ribosomal RNA, 468 nt
Filed under: uncultured bacterium
Lineage: Bacteria
Description: partial 16S ribosomal RNA
Rfam family: Bacterial small subunit ribosomal RNA
Source: RNAcentral
GACGAACGCUGGCGGCGUGCUUAACACAUGCAAGUCGGACGGAAAGGCCCUGCUUUUGUGGGGUGCUCGAGUGGCGAACGGGUGAGUAACACGUGAGUAACCUGCCCUUGACUUUGGGAUAACUUCAGGAAACUGGGGCUAAUACCGGAUAGGAGCUCCUGCUGCAUGGUGGGGGUUGGAAAGUUUCGGCGGUUGGGGAUGGACUCGCGGCUUAUCAGCUUGUUGGUGGGGUAGUGGCUUACCAAGGCUUUGACGGGUAGCCGGCCUGAGAGGGUGACCGGCCACAUUGGGACUGGGAUACGGCCCAGACUCCUACGGGAGGCAGCAGUGGGGAAUAUUGCACAAUGGGCGGAAGCCUGAUGCAGCAACGCCGCGUGCGGGAUGACGGCCUUCGGGUUGUAAACCGCUUUCGCCUGUGACGAAGCGUGAGUGACGGUAAUGGGUAAAGAAGCACCGGCUAACUACGUG